Molecule: ribosomal RNA, 190 nt
Filed under: uncultured bacterium
Lineage: Bacteria
Description: partial 16S ribosomal RNA
Rfam family: Bacterial small subunit ribosomal RNA
Source: RNAcentral
CUCGGCUGCAUGAAGCCGGAAUCGCUAGUAAUCGCGGAUCAGAACGCCGCGGUGAAUACGUUCCCGGGUCUUGUACACACCGCCCGUCACACCAUGGGAGUCGGGAACGCCCGAAGUCGGUGCCCCAACCGCAAGGAGGGAGCCGCCGAAGGCAGGCCCGGCGACUGGGGUGAAGUCGUAACAAGGUACC